GGGUUGGGAGUAUGUUGGUCAGUGCUGGCCUUCAGAUUGGCGCCUGCAUUCCUCUUCCUCUUUCUGAGGGCCAGCUGCCCGCAGACAGCAGGAAACACGGGGCAGGAGCUGAGGGGAGCGGACGGAACCCGGGUCCUGUGAAAAUGACUGCGGGCAAGCCCCAUUUUGGCAAGGCCCUGCCAGACACGUAGUGAUAUCACCCUGCCCCGCCAGACACCCGUGUGCUCAAGUCAGGCUUCAGAGAACACAGCAGAAUGCUCUGUGGAACUCUUGAUAGCCGUCACCGCUGCCGCCUGGCGCUCAAGCUGGUAAAGGAGUGGGGGAGCCCAGAACUUCAGGACACGCCAAAAACAGCUCUGCCGUGUGCCCAGGUGCUGUGAUCCAGAGCUGAAAGCAUCCAUGGGUUUCACGCCCCUCUGUGACGAUGAGUUUCCUACCUCAACUUGGCUGGAAGUGGUAUGCAAGGAUUUCAUCACGCACUAAUCUAGGUGCCGCAGUGAAGGCAUUUUGCAGAUUUGGUUAAUACCUACAAGCAGCCGACUUCUAGGAGAGUACCUUCAAUAAUGUGGGUGGGCCUCGCCCAAUCAGUUAAGGGCCUUAAAGAGCAAAGACUGAGGUCUCAGAGAAGAAGAAAUGCGGUCUCGAGAUCAUCGUGUCAACUCCUGCCUGGGUUUCUGUCCAGUUGGCCUGCCCUAUGGAUUUCAGACUUGCUGGCCCCUGUAAGAGUGUAAGCCAGUUCCUGAAAAUAAAUCUGUGUCAAUAGAUUUGGAGAGAAAAGAGAUAUAUAAAUACACAAAGCUAUAUAAAUACAAAUAUGCUAUUAGCUCUGUUUCCCUGGAGGUCCUGGCUAAUACACACUCAGUCCAGCUGCCUGAUCCCCUGAGGGCAGCACCCAAGCUGCCAGCAGAGAACUGAAAUCCCUGUGGCCUUGAGUUUGGCCUUGACUCCUCAUUUCAGUACUGCUCUGACCCUCAUUAGUAGAAAUGGAUUUGAGUAGACAUCCUAGGGCAGAAGGGGUUUUUAAAAGCCUGGCACACCUUCCUGCAGCCACGGACCCAGGGAUCAGCAGUAUAGGUGAGGGGGGGGUAGCAAUCCAUAGAUCAUGGGCAGAUGCAGCCUCCUGCCCUUCUGUAUGAAUAAAGUUUUAUUGGAACACA
Molecule: long non-coding RNA, 1157 nt
Organism: Suricata suricatta (meerkat)
Lineage: Eukaryota; Metazoa; Chordata; Mammalia; Carnivora; Herpestidae
Exons: 3
Source: RefSeq, a predicted model, not a curated record